UACGUAGGGUGCGAGCGUUGUCCGGAAUUAUUGGGCGUACAGGGCGCGUAGGCGGCCUGCUAAGUCGAACGUGAAAUCCCUGGGCUCAACCCAGGAACUGCAUUUGAAACUCCCUUUCUUGAGUGUCGGAGAGGAAAGCGGAAUUCCUGGUGUAGAGGUGAAAUUCGUAGAUAUCAGGAGGAACACCGGUGGCGAAGGCGGCACUCUGGGCCGAUACUGACGCUGAGGAGCGAAAGCGUGGGGAGCGAACAGG
This 253-nucleotide ribosomal RNA is filed under the name uncultured bacterium. RNAcentral describes it as "partial 16S ribosomal RNA". It matches the Rfam family "Bacterial small subunit ribosomal RNA", at positions 524 to 776 of the family's 1533-position model. The record is from RNAcentral.